AUCAACUAUAUAGAGCUCAAAUAUGGGCAGUUUUAUGAAAAUUGAUGAAAUAGCAGAAGAACAAUGUAUACAAUUUCUGAGAUCUGCGCGACCUAGAUUCACAAGACAAACUGGUCCCAGAUCAGUCAGUGGCCUAUGUAAAUUUUGGGGCGUU
Long non-coding RNA from Sander lucioperca (pikeperch), 154 nucleotides. RefSeq lists it as uncharacterized. The transcript has 2 exons. NCBI's taxonomy places the organism in Eukaryota, Metazoa, Chordata, Actinopteri, Perciformes, Percidae. The record is from RefSeq and is a predicted model, not a curated record.